UUCCUCCUGCAUUGUUAAGCAAACAAAAUACACAAUUUGUUUUCAGCUAUCUUCUCAUUGAACUCAACAUCACCGCAGCCAACCAAAAGCACAAACAUUCGCAAGGUGAUUGCUAAUCUCAUUUUACUCUAGUUCAUGUUACAUGUUUCACACCAACAAGUAUGCUUAUGUUUUAGAAAGUCAGAAUAAAGAAUUGAGAUAUAUAUGCAUAAUGGAUUAGCAAAGUCACGUUUCAGUAAUACAGAUUUACCCAUCUUAUGUAGAAUGUCCUAUGCGUUUAUGAUUCCCACUAGACUCUAGAAAUUAGAUGCUAACACAGUAGCAACCCCACAACGCCAUUAAUCCCUUGCACAUAUAGUAUAUAGAACCAAGACUUCACGCAGAUUUAAGAAGUUAACUUAGAACAGAAGAAAAAUGGAAGGGGACUAGAUUGAUGUACCUGUUCAGUCGAACCGAGGGAACGACGACGAGCCCUUGCUGCCUCGCCGAAAUAUGAGUAAAGCAGCAACGGCGAGGUGAAGAGUCAGGCCCGUCGACUCCGAGAACGACAGCAGCGACGGCCUACCCUUCUCUGCCGGAACCCAGAGGACGGCGAAAGAAGACCCAUCCCUUGAGUUCGAAAGCGGAAAGAACUGAGGAGGGGAUGACGUCUAUAGCCUCAUCAGAAGCUCAGGGGCGGUGGCGUCCGCCAGAGGCGGCGAUAAAUUCCGAGAGAUGAGAAAAGGCUACGGCUUGAGCGUGAAUCUAUUUUCAUGUUGGGCCGAGAUUCUCUACUAAAUUCAGAUUGGGCUGCAUUUAAGUAGAAGUGAUUGGGCUGUUUGUAUUUCCUUUAUGAAAGUCCGAUUAAAGACUAGUUCAAGUUUUAUUAAGUGAUUAAUUGGAUUUAGCUAUUUCCUCGUAAUAGAUUACAGAAAGCAGAUCUAUUUAAUUAGUAAGCGGGUUAGUAUACCUAAGAUGAGUGGAUUAAUUAAGAUUAUUAAUCUGAUCUCAUAAGCCGAGUUUAUGUUAUUAAUUGAUCCUAUAGUGCGGGUUAUUAAUAGAAAUUCUUGGAUUAUUAUUUUAGAAUAAUAAUUCUUGAAUAAGAGAGUCAUGCAUAGUUAAAUAACGCAUUCUCAUUAAAUUGAGAAUUUUUCUCGAGCAAUGUCUUAUUUUAUUUUCUCAUUACUAAGGUCAAGCGCGAGAGUAAGGGCUACUCAAGGAGUCACAGUACCUUAGAAAAGCUUUGCCAUCAGGUACCGCAUGUUUUUAGGCCACAAACAAUACUUUGUUUCUUCUGAUGCGGGUCAAGGAAAAAUGCAGUGGUACACGUUUCACGAGUUAGACGUGGAUAUUCCACCAAGUCUCAGCCGCUGCACUUGAGAAUACGACCAUUGGCGAGGCCAAUCUACAGCCCAAAGACGCUCGAAUCAAAGACCAAGCUCUCGGGCCCGACUGACUCCACCGAGGCGGGGAUCCAAUCAACGGCAAAGAGGACAUGGUGCUAGUACUAGCGGCAGAGUGAAGACAGCGGCAGCGGCGAUGAAGACCACCACCGCAAUCAGUGAAGUGGUCGGCAAAGAGAGAGAGAGAGGAGAUUGAGAGAAGAGAAAAAUUAAUGGUAGGAUAUAUUUGUAUUUUUGCACACAAAAUAACUAAUUUUUAAAAAAUUUAUGUGAGUGAACAAUUUUUAUUUUUA
This is a long non-coding RNA of Salvia miltiorrhiza (redroot sage), 1675 nucleotides long. RefSeq lists it as uncharacterized. Lineage: Eukaryota; Viridiplantae; Streptophyta; Magnoliopsida; Lamiales; Lamiaceae. The record is from RefSeq and is a predicted model, not a curated record. The transcript is spliced from 2 exons.